Molecule: long non-coding RNA, 589 nt
Organism: Nicotiana tabacum (common tobacco)
Lineage: Eukaryota; Viridiplantae; Streptophyta; Magnoliopsida; Solanales; Solanaceae
Source: RefSeq, a predicted model, not a curated record
CAUUUCAAAGCUUUCACAGCUAACACGAGGAGUUACAAUUUUAACACGUGGAAGCACAGCUGGUUUCUCGAUUAAAUCUCGAACAACCGUUGAGAAGUAACGCCAUCUCCGACUAAGAAAAAUCCAGAAUAUUUGCUCUCUCCGUUUAUGUCUUGUUGUCAAGUUUGCACUUCAAUGUGUUUCUUUCUGUCAAUCCUAUUUUCUGGUGUCCAAAGUGCGAGGAGCUAAAACUUCCUCGUGAAGGGGCUGCUUUCUGGAUUGUUUCAAGGCAUCUUGGAGCUCUCACAAGGAUUUUGUGAAGUUCUUGCUUGAUCUGCUGCUAUAUAUCAAGAAAGUAUCUUGUACUUGGCUCUUAAUUGCACUUCUCAUUUGUUUGAUGGCAUGCUUUGCCAUGGUUUCAAGUGUUUUAGACUUUUUGCUUGGAUGAAAUUGGUGGAAUAGCAGUUUUAGAAAUGAAAAUUUAAAGGGGGCUAUCAAUUAUAGAUCAAGUUCCUUUUCUGACAGACUAUGGUCUCUUCUUUGUCCUCGAAUUAUGUAGCGGCGUAACAGUUUAUGAUUAAGCAAAUAAAUAUAUUUCUGUGUUUUCUUA